CGGGAAUUCUCGCUCCUGGCCUGGGUGUUUUAGCUCACUUGGAAAGGCUAGAGACCCAAGUGAGCAGAUCCCGUAAACAGUCUGAAGAGCUGCAGAGUGUGCAGGCCCAGGAAGGUGCUCUUGGAACCAAGAUUCAUAAACUAAGGCGUUUGCGAGAUGAGCUGAGGGCUGCGGUGCGGCACCGGCGAGCCAGCGUGAAAGCAUGUAUUGCCAAUGUAGAACCCAACCAAACAGUGGAGAUCAAUGAGCAGGAAGCACUGGAAGAGAAAUUGGGAAAUGUGAAAGCCAUUCUGCAGGCAUAUCAUUUUACAGAAACCACUCCGGAUACAUCACCAUUCAGUCCCAGUCUUCAUUCCUCUGGAAGAGAUAGCUGCAAAAUAUUUACAGACCAACAUCCAGCACUUCCUGUUCAGUCUCUGCGAGUACCUGAAUGCUUACUCUGGGAGGAAGUACCAGGCAGACCGGCUUCAGAGUGACUUUGCAGCCCUCCUGACUGGGCCCUUGCAGAGAAACCCACUGUGUAACUUGCUGUCAUUUACUUACAAACUGGAUCCAGGGGGUCAGUCCUUCCCGUUCUGUGCUAGAUUGCUGUAUAAGGACCUCACAGCAACUCUUCCCACUGACGUCACCGUGACAUGUCAAGGAGUGGAAGCAUUAUCCACUUCGUGGGAGGAACAACGAGCAUCUCAUGAAACUCUGUUCUGUACGAAGCCCUUGCAUCAAGUGUUUGCCUCAUUUGCAAGAAAAGGAGAAAAGUUGGA
This 761-nucleotide small RNA is filed under the name Pongo abelii (Sumatran orangutan). RNAcentral describes it as "processed transcript". Lineage: Eukaryota; Metazoa; Chordata; Mammalia; Primates; Hominidae. The record is from RNAcentral.